GUGAGGAAUAUUGGUCAAUGGGCGAGAGCCUGAACCAGCCAAGUCGCGUGAAGGAAGAAGGAUCUAUGGUUCGUAAACUUCUUUUGCAGGGGAAUAAAGUGCGGGACGUGUCCUGUUUUGUAUGUACCCUGAGAAUAAGGAUCGGCUAACUCCGUGCCAGCAGCCGCGGUAAUACGGAGGAUCCGAGCGUUAUCCGGAUUUAUUGGGUUUAAAGGGUGCGUAGGUGGUUUGAUAAGUCAGCGGUGAAAGUUUGCAGCUUAACUGUAAAAAUGCCGUUGAAACUGUCGGACUUGAGUGUAAAUGAGGUAGGCGGAAUGCGUGGUGUAGCUGUGAAAUGCAUAGAUAUCACGCAGAACUCCGAUUGCGAAGGCAGCUUACUAAGCUACAACUGACACUGAAGCACGAAAGCGUGGGGAUCAAACAGGAUUAGAAACCCCAGUAGUCC
RNAcentral lists this ribosomal RNA (445 nucleotides) under uncultured bacterium. RNAcentral's name for it is "partial 16S ribosomal RNA". It matches the Rfam family "Bacterial small subunit ribosomal RNA", at positions 354 to 796 of the family's 1533-position model. The record is from RNAcentral.